Molecule: non-coding RNA, 887 nt
Organism: Onthophagus taurus
Lineage: Eukaryota; Metazoa; Arthropoda; Insecta; Coleoptera; Scarabaeidae
Source: RefSeq, a predicted model, not a curated record
GUGACGAGCACCAACCGAGACUCGAUGAAUGAAAUUUCGGUUCUUGCCGAAGGUUUGUUCUAUUUUUGGCUGAAACAGAAACAUUUAGCGAAGCUCAUAUUUUGGCCACUACAUUCAAUACUACCUAGUUUACCAAUCCAUGUUCCGGGUGAAAAUGAUCUUCAAAAACUUCAAAAUAAUUUCCAGCAAUUUCUCGUGCCCACUUUGCUGAUAAGGAUUUUUUCCCAAACCUCUAAGCCUUACCAUUGUCGAGAUACAUCCGCUCUGUACCCUUAUCAGGAUACCCGGUGCAAUGGGGAUAUCAUACAAAUAUAAUUUUUUGAAAUAAGUCUUUGCAAACUGAUCAUUUGUUAGAUUAAUUAAUAAUAAUUAUUAAAAGUCGUAUUGAACAGUGACUAAAAUAAAUUGAUAACAAUUUUUUUAGCCAAGCUCACAAUCCUCAUAUUCGCACAAAACAACACGCAAACCAAAAAUAUACACAACAACAACAGAAGAUAUAGUUAUUUUCGAAAAAAAUCAACCUGUAUCUAUUGAUUUACCACCGGAAUUAUUUAACAGCGGAUUUCAAUUAAUUACAAACGUUUCAAAGAGAAUUGGAGACUUUAUGUUGGAUUCCGGAUUUCGCGCUCAUCGAUUAUUAGAGUCAAUGAGACCAUUCUUUUGGAAAAUUUUUGGAAAGAAAGGUUUCGUAAUCGAAGCAACAACGGAUAAACCAAUAUUUACAGAUCCUAACGAAAAAAACGAAAUUAAAAAAUAACUUAAAAAAUAACAACAUCUCUAGAUUGGUGGUGCUCAAUUUACUAUGUAUUAAAUUUUAUAUCUUAGGUAGAUUAAUUGUACAGCAAUUUUAUGUAAAAGAAAGUUUUAAUAGAAAUUGUUUUUAUUUA